GGAAAUGGCAACCCACUCCAGUACUCUUGCCUGGAGAAUCCCAUGGAGGGAGGAGCCUGGUAGGCUACAGUCCAUGGGGUCGCAGAGUCCAACAGGACUGAGUGACUUCACUUUCACUUUCAAGUAAAAUUAGGAAGCACAGGAAAACAUGCACUCUUACAUAAAGCAAACUUUUAAGUAUAUGAGCCAAGAAUGAUUAAGAGGCUAAGAGGACGCUGUUUUUAGCAAGGAGUCAUUGAUAAUACUCAGGAGAGCAAUUUUAAUGAAAUAGGCCAGCUGUAUAAAACCACAGGAUUUCAAGGCAAAAAAGUAGGCGCUGCUGAUUGCUAGAUCAGUUGUCAGAUCUGGCUGUUUACUAGAAUUAACUAUACAGCUUUUUAAUGGGGAUGUAAUCGACAUAGAACAUUGGUUUUGGUGUAACUGGAGCUGUUUACGUAUUAGAGGUGUCUCUGAGAAUCUACUAAGUAAGACUGGAGGUAAGCAGUCUCUUCUUAGCAUUCACCAUGAUUCUAAUGCACAGCCAAGUUGAAGGGCCAUCCUUCUAAGUCACUACCUGACAUCUGCAUCAAAAACUAGGAACUGAAUUUUCAACUUCACUUGCAGAUACCUGUGAGUAUCUAGGAGAAAUACUGUCCUUCCUCCAUUCUAAGUCCUCUUGUGCUAUUCUGCCACAUCUCUUUCCAGCUGAGACUGGUCUCUCCAUCAUUUCCGUCUUCAGUCUCUCUCUCCAGUGAGUUCCGUUAGUAAACUAAGUGCUAACAUCUGUUUAUAUAACUACAGUCAAAUCUCUAGUUAAAUUUCAUAGAAUAGCAACUUUUUGUCACCUCUCACCCAUACUCAACUGUUAUUCAGUCAGUAGGGGAUACCUCUUAAUUUUUCUGUAUUUGACCUUUUGGACUACCUAUCUGAAAAAAAAAUUUCCCAGUUGCUGGUUUUUAUUUCUUCAGUUGUGGUUAUUUCUCACCUUCCCACCUAUGAGUCUUUAAUGUUCCCUGAAUAUUCUUGAUACAUAUGUAGGUUUGAAUGUCCCCUUCCUCGACUGUGACAUACUUAUAAGCAUUUGAUAAAAGCUAUGGAUGGUCGUCCCCCAAAAAGGCACAUGAAGUCUUGGCCUACAUUUUUAGAUUCAGACUGCAGCAUUUCUUCCAUGACAUUGUUCAUACAACAUAUUAAUAUGUUUUAUCUCUCGCAAAUCAUAAAUGUUUGUCUCAAAUGUAGUGGAGACGAGUUUUCUCACUGGACCCCCCCCCACUGCAUUUACUACAAAUCUCUUUCAAUUUUUAUUCACUUUAUUCUUUAAAAAUGAAGACCAGCCUAGGAUGUAGAUAGGAUAUCGCCUCUGCUUAAAAUUUCUAGUGGCUCCUGUGGUCAUCAGUGUAAUACAAACAUGAAGCGUUUUCAAGCCUUCACAUCUGCUGCUCAUUCUUCAUAGAUACCCUUGCCUCCUACCCACUGUGGACUGUAGUUUGCCCUCAGAUUCUACCACCUCAGCAUACAAAGUCUUCCUUAACCAACCUUCAGAUAGUUUGGUGUGCCUGUUGUCUUAGGGUAUUUUUGUAAAUUGCAGAAAUAGUAUGAAAUGAAGUGAAACAAAGCUAGGUUUACUCUACAACUUCAUAAAUGAAGGAUUUAAUUUCAUCUGUAAAGUGAAAAUACCAUCUACCAUUUAGAAUUAUUUGUAACCAUCAGAGUAUAUGUAAUAUACCUACCAUAUAAGUGCCUACCAUAUAAUAAGUGCUAAACACGGACCUUUGUUGUUUUAUAAUAGUCUGUCUCCUCCAGUAGAUGGCAGAAAAGAUUAAUCUUGCAUCUCAGAGUGCCCAGCUCAUAGCAAGUGCCUUCUUCAUGUUUUAAAGAACAGAGUGAUGAAAGACAAAGGAAAAGGAAAUCACUUUCUGAAGGCACUCAAGAAAUAAAGAGAUACAAACUGGAGUUUCUUCAUCAUUCUAUUUAUUACAUGUAUGAAUAUUAACAUGUCAUGGCAUCCAUCUAAUUCAGUCAAAACCAACAAAGGAAAAAAGGUUAACCAUGUUUCAAAUUAACAUUCUUACAGAUUCCCCUGUAACUUAAAAUAGAAAUACGUUCAUCUGCAUUAAAUUGACAAAUCUGAAAAAUGUCAUUUAAAAAAAAAAUCACCUUUAGUACUUAAAUAUAUUUGUUAAUCUUUUGAGGGCAUCAGUGUCCAAGAAUAAAAGUUGCUUCAUUAGGUACUUUUCAAAAAUGGACAUCUGGAUGGUUCUCUCUAGCUGGAGAUACAUACAUAGAUAGAUAUGCAAAUAUGUCCUAUUUCGUUUAAAAAUUUUUUUUCAAAUCUGCCUUUUCAAUUUGAGAAAAGUCCUGCAGUGCUCGCGUCACAACCCCCUUUUGAAGAAUAAAAGUUAUUCAGACUUUGCUUUAAUCAUGGGAAGCUGCUGGAAAAACAUCUUAUGUUGAGGUUGCUGUUUAAUUCCAUUUUCGCCCAAUAAAAAGUACAGAAACACUGUCUUUAUUUGAUGGUGUGCAUAAAUAUUACACUCCAUGGAUAGCAAAAAUAUUUUUUUAUUUAUAAUUUACAGUUUCACAAGUGAAAAUCGUACAUUUUUACACAUACAAUUUCAUUUUGUUAAAUUUGCACACAUCUACAGAACUUUCACACAACAAGCACCUGAAACUGUGCAGGCAGUAGGAAAUGCAAAUACUAAAAUGUAUUUAUUAACCAAAUGAUAGCUGAAGGCCCUGCCCCAGCUAGACAAUUUAUAUAGAUAUGUCUAUAUAUACAUAAAAAUUUCUUCACCUUCUAGAUUUCAACAGCAGCUUUUUUUUUUUUAAAAAAGAAAAACAUACCUUUCUCAUUUUAUUUAAACUGACUCGACUGUAUCAUUUUCUGUUUUAAUUUCAGUGGCUGUUGCUAUGCUUUCCUCUGUGCAAGCUGGUGGAGUAUCAGUUCGUUCUUCCUUAACUUUGGGACUUUCACAGGGUUCCUGCAAUUCGUUUUUGACAAUGUUCAACAUAAUAUUCAAGGGAUUUUCAACUGGUGUCUUGCUGGGAGAUGGUGUACAAUCAAAUGAAGAUGUCUACAAAAUGAAAAACCCUUUAAGUACCGAUAAAUAUCACAUUAAAUGACAUUUAGUUUUAUAAGACCCUUUUAUGGGCAAUGAAACAUACAUAUACCAAAUGUAAUUUGAAAACCCUGCUGUCCUGCAAAACAUGCCAUAAAGGCAGCCAAUUAGAA
Long non-coding RNA from Bubalus bubalis (water buffalo), 3211 nucleotides. RefSeq lists it as uncharacterized. NCBI's taxonomy places the organism in Eukaryota, Metazoa, Chordata, Mammalia, Artiodactyla, Bovidae. The record is from RefSeq and is a predicted model, not a curated record. The transcript has 2 exons.